GGACAGUCAGUCUUGACAGGGGUGGGGUCACUCCAGGAGCGGCUGAAACUCUUCGAUCUACGCUCGGCAAACGCUAGUGCAGAUGCAGUUCGGCCAAAAAUUGAUGCCUGACUGAUUAUAAAUUAUGACGGAGUGCGGAUCCAAAAGUCCUACCAGCAGAACAACAAGGAGAAGCCCUGCUGUUCGCCAUCAGUCGAGGAAAAUGAGAAAACCAUCUAAAGAGAAUCUGCAGACUAUGUUGGGAUGGGACAUCAACAUGGAG
Myripristis murdjan (pinecone soldierfish) is the source of this 262-nucleotide long non-coding RNA. RefSeq lists it as uncharacterized. Lineage: Eukaryota; Metazoa; Chordata; Actinopteri; Holocentriformes; Holocentridae. The transcript has 3 exons. The record is from RefSeq and is a predicted model, not a curated record.